UCGAGAAUCUUCGGCAAUGGACGAAAGUCUGACCGAGCGACGCCGCGUGCGGGAUGAAGGUCUUCGGAUUGUAAACCGCUGUCAGAGGGGAUGAAGUAUACGAGAGCUAUCUCUUGUAUUUGACAGAGCCUCAGAGGAAGCACGGGCUAAGUUCGUGCCAGCAGCCGCGGUAAUACGAACUGUGCGAACGUUAUUCGGAAUCACUGGGCUUAAAGGGUGCGUAGGCGGUUUUCUAAGUCACGUGUGAAAUCUUCCGGCUCAACCGGAAAACUGCGCGUGAUACUGGAUGACUUGAGUGAGGUAGGGGUGUGUGGAACUUCCGGUGGAGCGGUGAAAUGUGUAGAGAUCGGAAGGAACGCCAGCAGCGAAAGCGGCACACUGGGCCUUUUCUGACGCUGAGGCACGAAAGCUAGGGGAGUGAACG
This 424-nucleotide ribosomal RNA is filed under the name uncultured Planctomyces sp. RNAcentral's name for it is "bacterial SSU rRNA". It matches the Rfam family "Bacterial small subunit ribosomal RNA", at positions 355 to 774 of the family's 1533-position model. The record is from RNAcentral. Lineage: Bacteria; Pseudomonadati; Planctomycetota; Planctomycetia; Planctomycetales; Planctomycetaceae.